UACGAAGGGGGCUAGCGUUGCUCGGAAUCACUGGGCGUAAAGGGUGCGUAGGCGGGUCUUUAAGUCAGGGGUGAAAUCCUGGAGCUCAACUCCAGAACUGCCUUUGAUACUGAGGAGCUCGAGUCCGGGAGAGGUGAGUGGAACUCCGAGUGUAGAGGUGAAAUUCGUAGAUAUUCGGAAGAACACCAGUGGCGAAGGCGGCUCACUGGCCCGGUACUGACGCUGAGGUGCGAAAGCUAGGGUAGCAAACGGG
Molecule: ribosomal RNA, 253 nt
Filed under: uncultured bacterium
Lineage: Bacteria
Description: partial 16S ribosomal RNA
Rfam family: Bacterial small subunit ribosomal RNA
Source: RNAcentral